RNAcentral lists this ribosomal RNA (450 nucleotides) under uncultured bacterium. RNAcentral describes it as "partial 16S ribosomal RNA". It matches the Rfam family "Bacterial small subunit ribosomal RNA", at positions 354 to 796 of the family's 1533-position model. The record is from RNAcentral.
GUGGGGAAUUUUGGACAAUGGGCGCAAGCCUGAUCCAGCAAUGCCGCGUGCAGGAAGAAGGCCUUCGGGUUGUAAACUGCUUUUGUACGGAACGAAACGGUCCUGGUUAAUACCUGGGGCUAAUGACGGUACCGUAAGAAUAAGCACCGGCUAACUACGUGCCAGCAGCCGCGGUAAUACGUAGGGUGCGAGCGUUAAUCGGAAUUACUGGGCGUAAAGCGUGCGCAGGCGGUGCUGUAAGACAGGCGUGAAAUCCCCGGGCUUAACCUGGGAAUUGCGCUUGUGACUGCAGUGCUGGAGUGCGGCAGAGGGGGAUGGAAUUCCGCGUGUAGCAGUGAAAUGCGUAGAUAUGCGGAGGAACACCGAUGGCGAAGGCAAUCCCCUGGGCCUGCACUGACGCUCAUGCACGAAAGCGUGGGGAGCAAACAGGAUUAGAAACCCUGGUAGUCC